RNAcentral lists this long non-coding RNA (1836 nucleotides) under Paramuricea clavata. The record is from RNAcentral. Lineage: Eukaryota; Metazoa; Cnidaria; Anthozoa; Malacalcyonacea; Plexauridae.
CUUGAGACAGAAAAUAUUUGACCAUAGAAAAUAUUUAGCUUGAUGUGCCGAGAGAGUUUUCAUUACUAGUUUCAAUGCAAAUGAAUUACAAUGAGAAAUGACUGGCACCAUGCUGAUGUGAGGUACAGGCUGUAAAAACCUCUCUCAAGUAUAGUAUUUGUAGUUUUAGUGCCACCCACGCGAUCGUUUAUCGCGCGCAAAACAUGCUAAACUUUGGAACAUUAUGAAAUAGAUUCACCCAGAUAUAAUCUUUACCCCAAAAAUACUAUUAACGUUAAGUUUCCUCUUGCCUGCCAACAUGUACUUCUACAUUUUUAGCUUAUUAUCAAGCCUACUUGUGCUACUAAUCUUAAUUGCUUUUCCACCCCUCCUUUACUAUUGCUAUUAUAGCUAGCGUUUAAAAUAACUUGUAAUUUCGCUUGGCGCUCUUAUAUAUAUAUAUAUAUAUAAAAACGAAAACUAUUGAAAUCACCGAUAACAAUUUAAUUGUUAGAAUUUGAAUGCCUUAGUGCUCUGUUGGUUCCCACGAGUGCAUAAAUGAUUGACAUAAGUAAAUUUUAUGCAUAAAGAAACUGUUUAAGAAACUGUUUUUAAUUCCCAGGAGCAGAAAAUCGCGCACUUUACCAGGAGAUAUUCCUAACUAAAUUCUAAUACAUGCACCUUGUCAAUAUUUACGCAUCAUUACGUCCAGCUGUUUGGUAGGGCAUUCAAAUUUAACAAUAAGUUAUUUCAAUAGUUUUCGGGUUUUUUGGGACACCCUGUAUAUCGAUACGCACAAUUCAUUCGAGAGAAUUGGAACAUAGCACUACGCACUGGGGAAACAUUAAAUAUAUUAAGAAAGAUAUAUGUAUUGAAGUUUUACUUGUUGUGAAUCUAAUCAAGCUGUCCCCCUAACGGCCUCGACGAUCCCGCGUGUUGCUAUAUAAUAACAACAACUAAAGAGGUCGUUUUACAAUAUGCGGAAUUAUCAAAGUCUCGGUACUGAGCGCUACCGAGACCUUGAUAAUUUUGCAUAUCGCAAAAAUCGAAUUCAAUAAUUGUUUUAUUAUACAUUUGUUUGUGUUACAGUCAAAAUACAAGAACCUUCCCGCUUCUGUAACUUGUUUUGUAUUUAUUUGUUCUAUUUUCUGUAGCGAUUACCGCUUUAUCGGCACAUAUCGCGUUAGGAUCCGGUAGAAUUUCGCUUUUCUUCCUUUAUAUACGUAGCAACCUUUCGUUAGAUUCUUUGCAUAAAAGUUGCGAAACUUAGAUCUUAUAGCGAUAUUUGCUGAUAAAUCGGUUUUAAACCGCCGCCUAGUGUGUUCAUACUAUACAAAUUUAAAGUUACCGAAUACAAUCAUUUGACGUACUAAAAUGAAAAUUUCACAACUUUUAUGCAAAGAAUCUAACGAAAGGUGUAUCCUUUGCUACAAAUCGACGUAUAUGAAGGAAAGAAAGGGGAAUUCUACCGCGAUAUUUGCCGAUAAAAAAUGCAACAGAAAAUAGAACAAAUAACAGAAAUACAAAACGUCAAGUUACAGAAGCGGAAGUGGGAAUGUUUUGGAAUGUUCUUGCAUUUUGACUGUAAAUAGAUACCGCUUGCUAAUUAUCGCAGGUUCACUUGCAGAUAACUGAGUUAUCUGCUAGCAGAUAACUGAAUUCUCUGUAGGUUGCGUGAUUGUGCGAUUUAACUGUAAGCUCUUAGCCAAUCAAAUUGCUUUUACCAGCUACAAUGCAUAAUAAUAAUAAUAAUAAUAAUAAUGCCAUAUGUUUUUGUUCAUACACCAGGGCGCAAACACUGGAUUGGUUCUUAAAUUAUCUUCUUCGUCUGGCAAGAUUUGGAUCACCAGUACAAGC